ANUUCUUUUAACGNCUNNCNUCGAUCGUAUAUAGCAUCAGCNUCGGUGUAGUCGUUCUAUAAGGCUCAACACUGAGUCCGGCUCGUCNUUACAGCCUAACACAUGCAAGUCGAACGGCAGCACAGGAGAGCUUGCUACUACUAGGGUAGGCGAGUAGGCGGACGGGUAGAGGAAUACAUACGGAAUACUAACUUCUAAGUACGUAGGGGGAUAAAUCGUAAGGGGAAACUUAAUCGCUAAAUACCCGCAUACACU
This 255-nucleotide ribosomal RNA is filed under the name uncultured bacterium. Its description in RNAcentral is "partial 16S ribosomal RNA". The record is from RNAcentral.